AGCAGCCGCGGUAAUUCCAGCUCCAAUAGCGUAUAUUAAAGUUGUUGCAGUUAAAAAGCUCGUAGUUGAAUUUCGGGGUUAGUAGGUUGGUCAUGCCUCUGGUAUGUACUGGUCUCACUGAUUCCUCCUUCCUGAUGAACCUUAAUGCCAUUUAUUUGGUGUUUUGGGGAAUUUGGACUGUUACUUUGAAAAAAUUAGAGUGUUUAAAGCAAGCUAACGCUUGAAUACAUUAGCAUGGAAUAAUGAAAUAGGACGUUCGAUCCUACUUUGUUGGUUUCUAGGAUUGACGUAAUGAUUAAUAGGGAUAGUUGGGGGCAUUAGUAUUCAAUUGUCAGAGGUGAAAUUCUUGGAUUUAUUGAAGACUAACUACUGCGAAAGCAUUUGCCAAGGAUGUUUUCAUUAAUCAAGAACGAAAGUUAGGGGAUCGAAGACGAUCAGAUACCGUCGUAGUCUUAACCAUAAACUAUGCCGACUAGGGAUCGGAUAAUGUAAUUUUUAAUGACUCAUUCGGCGCCUUACG
This 520-nucleotide ribosomal RNA is filed under the name uncultured Glomus. Its description in RNAcentral is "SSU rRNA". It matches the Rfam family "Eukaryotic small subunit ribosomal RNA", at positions 569 to 1092 of the family's 1831-position model. Lineage: Eukaryota; Fungi; Glomeromycota; Glomeromycetes; Glomerales; Glomeraceae. The record is from RNAcentral.